Molecule: ribosomal RNA, 442 nt
Filed under: Sphaerosyllis austriaca
Lineage: Eukaryota; Metazoa; Annelida; Polychaeta; Phyllodocida; Syllidae
Description: partial 16S ribosomal RNA
Rfam family: Bacterial large subunit ribosomal RNA
Source: RNAcentral
AAGUGUAUAAAAGUAUAUAUACAGUAAUUACUGCCCAGUAAAUUUUUAACGGCCGCAGAAUCCUUAACUGUGCAAAGGUAGUACGAUAAUGUGCUCCCUAAUCAGGAGAUAUUACAAAUGUAAAAACAAGAUUUAAACUUUCUUCUUCACUAAUAAAAACUAUGGUGGGAGUUAAAACACUUCCAUCUAAUUGUUAGACAAUAAGCCCCUAUAGAACUUAUAACCCAUAAGUGACUCGCACUUAUGAUUUAUUUAGCUGGGACGGCACAUAUUAAAGAAUCAGUAUAAAACAACUAAACACCAUAAGUUUUAUAAACCCUUCCCCAAUAACAAAACUAAGUUACCUUAGGGAUAACAGGCUAAUACGUUCCAAUAGCUCACAUUAACAAACUUAUUUGGCCCCUCGAUGUUGGCUUAGGGAACCCCCAUUAAGUAGAAAUAA